CUGCCGCCAAAAGCAGGAAGCGUUGCGA
RNAcentral lists this small RNA (28 nucleotides) under Bombyx mori (domestic silkworm). Its description in RNAcentral is "ovarian small RNA-14911". The record is from RNAcentral. Lineage: Eukaryota; Metazoa; Arthropoda; Insecta; Lepidoptera; Bombycidae.